This 253-nucleotide ribosomal RNA is filed under the name uncultured bacterium. RNAcentral's name for it is "partial 16S ribosomal RNA". It matches the Rfam family "Bacterial small subunit ribosomal RNA", at positions 524 to 776 of the family's 1533-position model. The record is from RNAcentral.
UACGAAGGGGGCUAGCGUUGCUCGGAAUCACUGGGCGGAAAGGGUGCGUAGGCGGGUCUUUAAGUCAGGGGGGAAAUCCUGGAGCUCAACUCCAGAACUGCCUUUGAUACUGAAGAUCUUGAGUUCGGGAGAGGUGAGUGGAACUGCGAGUGUAGAGGUGAAAUUCGUAGAUAUUCGCAAGAACACCAGUGGCGAAGGCGGCUCACUGGCCCGAUACUGACGCUGAGGCACGAAAGCGUGGGGAGCAAACAGG